AGGAGUUUGUGGAGGAGCAACAUAAUGUUGCAGAUGUGCCCCAACUGUGGAGUUACUUUGGAAACCAAGGGACAAGCAACUUCUCUCUGAGGUUGGCCGGUAUCCGACGUGCUAUGGAGGCUCUGACAUCCUCAGACAGUACCUCCCUUAAUUACCUCACCCACGCUGGGAGGAUGGUGUUGAGUGGACUGUCCGAGCUCAACCAGCAGG
Long non-coding RNA from Oncorhynchus tshawytscha (Chinook salmon), 210 nucleotides. RefSeq lists it as uncharacterized. The transcript is spliced from 3 exons. NCBI's taxonomy places the organism in Eukaryota, Metazoa, Chordata, Actinopteri, Salmoniformes, Salmonidae. The record is from RefSeq and is a predicted model, not a curated record.